AUUGAACGCUGGCGGCAGGCCUAACACAUGCAAGUCGAGCGGAUGAAGGGAGCUUGCUCCUGGAUUCAGCGGCGGACGGGUGAGUAAUGCCUAGGAAUCUGCCUGGUAGUGGGGGAUAACGUCAGGAAACGGGCGCUAAUACCGCAUACGUCCUGAGGGAGAAAGAGGGGGAUCUUCGGACCUCACGCUAUUAGAUGAGCCUAGGUCGGAUUAGCUGGUUGGUUGGGUAAAGGCCUACCAAGGCGACGAUCCGUGACUGGUCUGAGAGGAUGAUCAGUCACACUGGAACUGGGACACGGUCCAGACUCCUACGGGAGGCAGCAGUGGGGAAUAUUGGACAAUGGGCGAAAGCCUGAUCCAGCCAUGCCGCGUGUGUGAAGAAGUUCUUCGGAUUGUAAAGCACUUUAAGUUGGGAGGAAGGGCAGUAAGUUAAUACCUUGCUGUUUUGACGUUACCAACAGAAUAAGCACCGGCUAACUUCGUG
RNAcentral lists this ribosomal RNA (484 nucleotides) under uncultured bacterium. RNAcentral's name for it is "partial 16S ribosomal RNA". It matches the Rfam family "Bacterial small subunit ribosomal RNA", at positions 30 to 507 of the family's 1533-position model. The record is from RNAcentral.